RNAcentral lists this unclassified non-coding RNA (239 nucleotides) under soil metagenome. RNAcentral describes it as "partial internal transcribed spacer 1". The record is from RNAcentral.
UUGAACAACUGGGUGGGUUGUUGCUGGCCUCUUGGGGCAUGUGCACACCUGCCUUCGUUUCUUCUCUUCGCCACCUGUGCACAUUUUGUAGACUUGGAUAUCUUUCGAGGCAACUCGGUCAGGGAGCUGUCGUUGAGCUCAAGGCUUGCUCGGCUGCUCCUACAUUUCCGGUCUAUGUUCUUUCUUGUACACCAUUGUAUGUUGCAGAAUGUAUGAAUUGGGCAUUUAUAAAUCUAUUA